RNAcentral lists this long non-coding RNA (327 nucleotides) under Gossypium raimondii (Peruvian cotton). Its description in RNAcentral is "long non-coding RNA (GRAI_LNC002921)". Lineage: Eukaryota; Viridiplantae; Streptophyta; Magnoliopsida; Malvales; Malvaceae. The record is from RNAcentral.
UUCUUUGGAUAUUUGGGAUAUUCAUAUUGGUUGCAUAUUUGGUUGCUUUGGGAUGUUUUUAUUUUCAUUGCUUUUGGAUGCUUUUAUUUCAAAUGUACUGCCAUUGUUUGUUUUUCUUUUGUUUGCCUUUGGUUGCUUUAUUUUUCUUUUGUUUCUAUUUUUUAUUCUUAUGUCUCCAAAUUUUUAAGUAAUGUGCCCUUACUCCUCUAGUUUUUCAACCACGCAUUCUUUUUUAUAUUACAAAAAGGGGGAGAAAAAUGCAAAUUUUGCAUAAUAUAAUUUUUAAUUAAAUAUUAAAGCCAAAUUCUUUAAGUUGAAAAUUUAAAU